Molecule: ribosomal RNA, 497 nt
Filed under: uncultured bacterium
Lineage: Bacteria
Description: partial 16S ribosomal RNA
Rfam family: Bacterial small subunit ribosomal RNA
Source: RNAcentral
GAUGAACGCUGGCGGCGUGCCUAAUACAUGCAAGUCGAGCGAACAGACGAGGAGCUUGCUCCUCUGACGUUAGCGGCGGACGGGUGAGUAACACGUGGAUAACCUACCUAUAAGACUGGGAUAACUUCGGGAAACCGGAGCUAAUACCGGAUAAUAUAUUGAACCGCAUGGUUCAAUAGUGAAAGACGGUUUUGCUGUCACUUAUAGAUGGAUCCGCGCCGCAUUAGCUAGUUGGUAAGGUAACGGCCUACCAAGGCGACGAUGCGAAGCCGACCUGAGAGGGUGAUCGGCCACACGGGACCGGAGACACGGUCCAGACUCCUAGGGGAGGCAGCAGUAGGGAUCCUUCCGCAAUGGGCGAAGGCCUGACGGAGCAAGGCCGCGUGAGUGAUGAAGUUCUUCGGAUCGUAAAACUCUGUUAUUAGGGAAGAACAAAUGUGUAAGUAACUAUGCACGUCUUGACGGUACCUAAUCAGAAAGCCACGGCUAACUACGUG